CUUAUCAAGAGUGGUGGAGGGAACGGCCCUGUGAAGCCCGGCAACCUGCGUCAUGCGCAAGGUGCCAAAUCCGGCGGUGAGACGAAAGAUGAG
This 93-nucleotide non-coding RNA is filed under the name bovine gut metagenome. RNAcentral describes it as "SAM riboswitch (S box leader)". It matches the Rfam family "SAM riboswitch aptamer (S box leader)". Rfam says of the family: The SAM riboswitch is found upstream of a number of genes which code for proteins involved in methionine or cysteine biosynthesis in Gram-positive bacteria. The SAM riboswitch acts at the level of transcription termination control. The predicted structure consists of a complex stem-loop region followed by a single stem loop terminator region. The record is from RNAcentral.